GCGCCGCCUGCAUAUCUCAAGACCAGAAUUCAGCGGGUUUGAACUUCAACUGCACGUAUCCUCGCAUUUUCAUGUCCAAUUUUUGAUCCACCCUGAUGUCCUCAGUAUUUCUAUCAUCUCAGGUUUAUUUUAAAAG
RNAcentral lists this small RNA (136 nucleotides) under Chinchilla lanigera (long-tailed chinchilla). Its description in RNAcentral is "sRNA (ENSCLAG00000019982.1)". Lineage: Eukaryota; Metazoa; Chordata; Mammalia; Rodentia; Chinchillidae. The record is from RNAcentral.